Molecule: long non-coding RNA, 2806 nt
Organism: Cicer arietinum (chickpea)
Lineage: Eukaryota; Viridiplantae; Streptophyta; Magnoliopsida; Fabales; Fabaceae
Source: RefSeq, a predicted model, not a curated record
CUGCAAUGAAACAGAUCCUUGCCAUACCACAUGCUUAAUAAUAUCUCAUAUUAAUUAUUUUCUUUGGUAAAGUGAAUUGUAAAGUUAGUAACCCUACACAUGUUUUGAAUCUUCAGCAUUAAAGUCAGUCUAAUUUCUUCCAUUGUCUUUGUAGAAAUCAUAGAAAGCUAUGUCUCCACAUGGUUAUUACGGCCUAUUUUUUCACUUCCUGAGUUGAUGUCCAAUAUAACAUUCAUUGAUGUAUAAUGUCCUGUGAUUGAAGCUAAUAUAUGUCCCUGGCAUAGAGAAGGGGUCAGUGAACUGGUGGGAAGUAAGAAAUUGAGGGGUCACAUGGGAUAUCAUGUAAAUCACAGGGGAGGAGCAAUAUUACCAGCAGCUUCUCGAGAAACAGAAGCAUGCUAUAGAUUUAAUGUCACAUAAUUAAGGCGUGUUUUGGCUCAGAACCUUUAAUAUUUUUCAGUCAUUUUAGAUGACGCUGAUUUUAUGGGCUUUCCCGUAUGUGAGCAAUGUGACCAAAUGUGAUUAGACGACGCUGAUUUUAUGGGUGUUCCUUAUGAGUAAGAAUUUUAUUUGUUAAACAAUAUUUGAUUGGGUUUGUAGAAAAAUGUGACCAAAUUAUAACCACCUGGGUUUCACAGCUGGAGCUUGAGCAGAAAGCCAAAACUCUGCAUGAAGAUAUAAUAAAGCAUUGGAUCUCAAGGGAAUUAGCAUUGUUACGAAAUCACACUGAUCUAGCCAAUGAAAAAGGAUGGAGUAGAGAAUAUCCUUUUAUUUUUAAAAAGUUCUGUAUAUAAGGUACUUGAUAGUGCAUCUGUUAUUAUCUUCACAUUCUUGUCAUGGUAUUAUUUGUCAUUUCAUUGAGAUCCUCUGUUGGACAUAAAACUUUAGAGAUAUAUUGUAUUGAACUCAGAUUUGUGAAAUCAAAGUAUUGAGAUAUAUUAUAAAUUUUUCCUUGAACAAUUGUUUGUCUAUGGUGCUUCUCAAACCGGUUAUGAGGUCCAAAUCCAAAACCAUUUUAAAUAUCCUAAUAUAGCUAUAAACCAAUUCAUUUAUAACCGGUUGGAUAACCAUCCACAUUUUAUUUUUGGAUUUGGAUUUAAACCGGUUUUUAUUCAUCCAACUCCCAAAUUUCAAUCUCAAAACUCGAAAAGGGUUUUCCGGCAAUGCUUCCUUCCGGAAAACCGACCUUCCAUAUUUGAAGCACCGUCCUUCCUUCUUUGUCAAACGUUUAGCUCUCUCGUUCGUUUCUAUUCCUCCUUACCAAGUUUUUUCUCUUAGUUAUUCUUCUUUUAUGUUGUUUCAAAGACUAUUUUGAUUGUUAUUUUGAACAUUUUAGUUUAGUGUUGAUCGUUUUCUAGGUGUGUUGUUUCCUUAAAUUACCAUUCUUCUAUUAUAUUGAUUUUUUCUGCUGUCGGGAUGUGAUUUCUAUUAUUAUUGUUUUUCACCCUAUUCUUACAACUUCAAUCAACACUAAAUUUGUUCAAUUUAUAUUUUUUGGUUUAUGGGUAUUUUAUUUUACUAUAGAUGGAAAUGGUUGUUCCUUAGUUUUUUUCCGGUAUUAAAUUUUGUUCCUUAAUCAUUGAUCGAUGGAUCUAGGCUCUGAGUUUGAGUUGUUUUGCAGCUUCCAAUUCCUAGUAAAUUGGCUGGACUGUUUUUGAUGCAGUAACUGUGUUAGGUUAGACUUUGAAUCAUCAAAAGGCAUUUGAAGUGCUUGAAUUCAUGAUCCCAAGUAUUCUGAGGAACUACUUAAGAGGAAGGGGAAAGGUGUGCCUGUCGAUUUAGAUUGGGAGAAAGCACAAUCAAUUGUGCCGUUUUUAAAAAUGUUUUACGAUGCCAUCUUACGAAUAUCUGGGUCCUCCUAUGUUGCCUCUAAUAUGUAUAUGUUAGAGGUUUUUGGAAUAGGUGUAAAGAUACUUAAAAUGUCCAACUCCAAGAAUAUGUGUUUAAAAGUAGUGGCUGAUAAGAUGAAAACAAAGUACGACAAAUAUUGGGGGAAAAAAAUGAAAAUUUGAACAUGUUGUUGAUUUCUUCUGUCUUAGAUCCCAGGAACAAAUUAUAGUAUUGAUUGAUCACUUAGAACUUUAAUACCAAAUUAAAAGAUUUGUUGAAAACCCGUUUGGAAGAACUAAUUAUGGAGUAUAGUGGUGUUGGAGAAGAGUUCCAAAGUGAAUCACAAUCGACUGAAUUUGAUUUAAGUGGUAACGAAGAUCUUUAUAGUUAUAAUCGAUUUUUAUUGAGCACCGGUUCGUCCUCAAUUGAAAAGUCUGAUUUGGAAAGGUACUGGAAGAAUCUUUAGAGAAUCGGCCAUCUAUCAACUUUGAUGUUUUAAACUGGUGGAAGUUAAACUCAAGCCAUUUUUCAAAUCUUUCAAAGAUAGCCAAAGACUUGCUUUCCAUACCUAUCUCUACAAUGUCAUCUGAGUCUACUUUUAGUACUGGAGGAGUAGUGAUUGAUGAAUAUCAUAGUUGUCUCACACCUCAAAAGAUUGAAACUCUAGUUUGUAAGAAAUAACUUCUAUGAAAUUUGGUGGUGCUUGUUCGGUUCAUGUUUCUCUUGGUGAAGAUUGAGAAGUGACAAAACUGAGACUCUAAUGGAGUGCUUGUUGCGUAGACUAUACAUUGACUCUGAUGAAAACUGGCACCGAUCUAACACCUUGCUUUAGUAAUGGUUUUUUUUUUAUUUUUUUUUUUUAUUUUUUAUUUAUUUUUUUUUUUAACUGUUUUUGAUAUAGUUAGUAUAUGACUUUAGAAGUUAUCGACUCCAUUAGUUACUUGAAUCUCUUUAUACUAGCAACUGUUUUAAAUUC